GAUGAACGCUGGCGGCGUGCCUAAUACAUGCAAGUCGAACGAAACUUCUUUAUCACCGAGUGCUUGCACUCACCGAUAAAGAGUUGAGUGGCGAACGGGUGAGUAACACGUGGGCAGCCUGCCCAAAAGAGGGGGAUAACACUAGGAAACAGGUGCUAAUACCGCAUAACCAUAGUUACCGCAUGGUAACUAUGUAAAAGGUGGCUAUACUACCGCUUUUGGAUGGGCUCGCGGCGCAUUAGCUAGUUGGUAGGGUAAAGGCUUACCAAGGCAAUGAUGCGUAGCCGAAUUGAGAGGUUGAUCGGCCACAUUGGGACUGAGACACGGCCCAAACUCCUACGGGAGGCAGCAGUAGGGAAUCUUCCACAAUGGGCGAAAGCCUGAUGGAGCAACGCCGCGUGGGUGAAGAAGGUCUUCGGAUCGUAAAACCCUGUUGUUAGAGAAGAAAGUGUGUGAGAGUAACUGUUCACGUUUCGACGGUAUCUAACCAGAAAGCCACGGCUAACUACGUG
Molecule: ribosomal RNA, 512 nt
Filed under: uncultured bacterium
Lineage: Bacteria
Description: partial 16S ribosomal RNA
Rfam family: Bacterial small subunit ribosomal RNA
Source: RNAcentral